CCUACGGGCGGCUGCAGUGGGGAAUAUUGGACAAUGGGGGCAACCCUGAUCCAGCCAUGCCGCGGGUGUGAAGAAGGCCCUCGGGGUGUAAAGCACUUUCAGUGAGGAAGAACGCCUGGUGGUUAAUACCCAUCAGGAAAGACAUCACUCACAGAAGAAGCACCGGCGAACUCCGUGCCAGCAGCCGCGGUAAUACGGAGGGUGCGAGCGUUAAUCGGAAUUACUGGGCGUAAAGCGCGCGUAGGUGGCUUGAUAAGCCGGUUGUGAAAGCCCCGGGCUCAACCUGGGAACGGCAUCCGGAACUGUCAAGCUAGAGUGCAGGAGAGGAAGGUAGAAUUCCCGGUGUAGCGGUGAAAUGCGUAGAGAUCGGGAGGAAUACCAGUGGCGAAGGCGGCCUUCUGGACUGACACUGACACUGAGGUGCGAAAGCGUGGGUAGCAAACAGGAUUAGAUACCCUGGUAGUC
RNAcentral lists this ribosomal RNA (465 nucleotides) under Vreelandella stevensii. Its description in RNAcentral is "partial 16S ribosomal RNA". It matches the Rfam family "Bacterial small subunit ribosomal RNA", at positions 338 to 795 of the family's 1533-position model. Lineage: Bacteria; Pseudomonadati; Pseudomonadota; Gammaproteobacteria; Oceanospirillales; Halomonadaceae. The record is from RNAcentral.